AUUGAACGCUGGCGGCAUGCCUUACACAUGCAAGUCGAACGGCAGCACGGGUGCUUGCUCCUGGUGGCGAGUGGCGAACGGGUGAGUAAUACAUCGGAACAUGUCCUGUCGUGGGGGAUAGCCCGGCGAAAGCCGGAUUAAUACCGCAUACGAUCUACGGAUGAAAGCGGGGGACCUUCGGGCCUCGCGCUAUAGGGUUGGCCGAUGGCUGAUUAGCUAGUUGGUGGGGUAAAGGCCUACCAAGGCGACGAUCAGUAGCUGGUCUGAGAGGACGACCAGCCACACUGGGACUGAGACACGGCCCAGACUCCUACGGGAGGCAGCAGUGGGGAAUUUUGGACAAUGGGCGAAAGCCUGAUCCAGCAAUGCCGCGUGUGUGAAGAAGGCCUUCGGGUUGUAAAGCACUUUUGUCCGGAAAGAAAUCCUUGGCCCUAAUACGGUCGGGGGAUGACGGUACCGGAAGAAUAAGCACCGGCUAACUACGUG
This 486-nucleotide ribosomal RNA is filed under the name uncultured bacterium. RNAcentral's name for it is "partial 16S ribosomal RNA". It matches the Rfam family "Bacterial small subunit ribosomal RNA", at positions 30 to 507 of the family's 1533-position model. The record is from RNAcentral.